This 330-nucleotide ribosomal RNA is filed under the name uncultured fungus. RNAcentral describes it as "LSU rRNA". It matches the Rfam family "Eukaryotic large subunit ribosomal RNA", at positions 320 to 667 of the family's 3401-position model. Lineage: Eukaryota; Fungi. The record is from RNAcentral.
AUACUGGCCAGAGACCGAUAGCGCACAAGUAGAGUGAUCGAAAGAUGAAAAGCACUUUGGAAAGAGAGUUAAAAAGCACGUGCAAUUGUUGAAAGGGAAGCGCUUGCAGCCAGACUUGCCUGUAGUUGCUCAUCCGGGUUUUUACCCGGUGCACUCUUCUACGGGCAGGCCAGCAUCAUUUUGGGCGGUUGGAUAAGGGUCUCUGUCAUGUACCUCCUCUCGGGGGGAUCUUAUAGGGGAGACGACAUGCAACCAGCCUGGACUGAGGUCCGCGCAUCUGCUAGGAUGCUGGCGUAAUGGCUGUAAGCGGCCCGUCUUGAAACACGGACC